AAUAAUUUAUCGCUGAAUUAUGGCAGUUUGACUGCUAUAAGCGGGGGAACCAUUCAAAUGGGGUGAAUCCUGUGUUAUCAGGUAGGGUUAGUCUCUUACAACCCGAAUCCGGCAGCUAACUUCGUAAGCGUUGGGGAGAAAGUGA
RNAcentral lists this small RNA (145 nucleotides) under Ruminiclostridium cellulolyticum. RNAcentral describes it as "Clostridium cellulolyticum c-di-AMP sequence". It matches the Rfam family "c-di-AMP riboswitch aptamer (ydaO/yuaA leader)". Rfam says of the family: This family represents a conserved RNA structure found upstream of the ydaO and yuaA genes in Bacillus subtilis and related genes in other bacteria. RNAcentral also lists the same sequence under 1 other name. Lineage: Bacteria; Bacillati; Bacillota; Clostridia; Eubacteriales; Oscillospiraceae. The record is from RNAcentral.